CUCCUGGUAGCCUCAGUGGUAUGAGCGUCGCGACCGGUGUGCCGGGAAGGUCAUAGGUUCGACGUCCUGUUUGGGGGA
Molecule: non-coding RNA, 78 nt
Organism: Desmophyllum pertusum
Lineage: Eukaryota; Metazoa; Cnidaria; Anthozoa; Scleractinia; Caryophylliidae
Source: the annotation of a GenBank genome assembly